RNAcentral lists this ribosomal RNA (496 nucleotides) under uncultured bacterium. Its description in RNAcentral is "bacterial SSU rRNA". It matches the Rfam family "Bacterial small subunit ribosomal RNA", at positions 37 to 518 of the family's 1533-position model. The record is from RNAcentral.
UGGCGGCGUGCCUAACACAUGCAAGUCGAGCGGGACAUUGCGACGGAGACGAAGUACUCGUACGGAGUCAAAGAGUGUAAUGUUCUAGCGGCGGACGGGUGAGUAACGCGUGAGCAACCUGUCCCUUACAGGGGAUAACACAGCGAAAGUUGUACUAAUACCGCAUAAGACCACAGGAUGACAUCGUCCAGGGGUCAAAGGAGCAAUCCGGUAAGGGGUGGGCUCGCGUCCGAUUAGAUAGUUGGUGAGUAACGGCCCACCAAGUCGACGAUCGGUAGCCGACCUGAGAGGGUGAUCGGCCACAUUGGGACUGAGACACGGCCCAAACUCCUACGGGAGGCAGCAGUGGGGAAUAUUGGGCAAUUGGGGGGAAACCCUGACCCAGCAACGCCGCGUGAGGGAAGAAGGUUUUCGGAUCGUAAACCUCUGUCCCAGGUGAAGAGGAAGAGACGGUAGCCUGGGAGGAAGCCCCGGCUAACUACGUGCCAGCCGCGGC